GGGAAAUUGAUGAUAUCUAUAAAUGGCCAAUAAUGCUUCAAUUGACAUACUCGGGAGUUGUUCUCAGUUUUUGUCAAUAAGUGCCCUUACUGUACAAGACAACGAUCAAUUGUAUGUAUUCAUUACACUGGCUUUCCAUGCUUCUGCAUAUUUGUUCGGGACGUUGGCGUUUGCGCUCAUCGGUGAAAAAUUACAACAAAAUGCAACUUUAUGACUCAUUCAAAUGAAAUAGCAUUAAAGGUCUUCAAUUCAAUGUAUUCGCUGACAAUGUUAUAUCGUAAUCGACUGCAGAAAAUACACACUUAAACUUUUUUUUCUGUGGAACUUCAUAGUAUAUAAUGUAGUGAUCAAAAGUAGUGAUGAGUAAUUUAUUAUUCCCAAAAUGACUAGACCGAUUUAGAUUAAUUAUUUAGAAAAUGUUUAGAUUAACAAACUCUACGGUUAAUUGUGUGAAGUUUGAUGUAACUUGAAGGGUGUAAAAGAAGGGAUUAACUUGUGUUGAUAUAAUAUUAGAUUCUAGCAUGUGUAAGUUGUUAACUCAAAUAAAAAAAAUCAAACAUU
Molecule: long non-coding RNA, 561 nt
Organism: Dalotia coriaria
Lineage: Eukaryota; Metazoa; Arthropoda; Insecta; Coleoptera; Staphylinidae
Exons: 3
Source: RefSeq, a predicted model, not a curated record